This 338-nucleotide long non-coding RNA is filed under the name Prunus dulcis (almond). RNAcentral's name for it is "sRNA ncRNA". Lineage: Eukaryota; Viridiplantae; Streptophyta; Magnoliopsida; Rosales; Rosaceae. The record is from RNAcentral.
AUGCCUGUUGAAGCAGAUGUAUCAGUGUGGAGAGCCUUGCUCAAUGCUUGUCAACUUCAUUCUGCCACGAAGUUAGCUGGAGCCAUAUAUAUGCUGCAGCAGAUCUAUGGAUGGAGGUCAGGCAGAUAAGAACACGGCUCAGGGAAAAGGGUUUAGAAAAGCCUCCUGGAGUAAGUUGAAUUGUUGUUAAAAGCCAGGUCCAUUGUUUCGUUGCCGGAGACAGAUCACACCUUCAAUCAGACAUAAUUUAUGCAAGUUUAAAUUCUCUGUUAACCUUGAUAAAAGAAAGUGGAUACAUUCCUGAUCUUCGAUUGGUUUUGCGUGACGAAGAGGGUUAG